UCGUAAAUGAUGAGAAAACAUCCUUGCUCUGCGAGUCGUUUGGCAAAUUGUUUUUCUGGAAAUUGGAAAUUUUAAACAUCGGGUUUAUUAUUUCACUUGAUUCGGAAACUCAUGGCUUCGACGGUGAACAGCGUUGGCCUCUGAUACGU
This 149-nucleotide small nucleolar RNA is filed under the name Caenorhabditis japonica. RNAcentral describes it as "snoRNA CJA48448". It matches the Rfam family "Nematode snoRNA ceN47". Lineage: Eukaryota; Metazoa; Nematoda; Chromadorea; Rhabditida; Rhabditidae. The record is from Rfam by way of RNAcentral.